GAUGAACGCUAGCUACAGGCUUAACACAUGCAAGUCGAGGGGCAUCAGGAAGAAAGCUUGCUUUCUUUGCUGGCGACCGGCGCACGGGUGAGUAACACGUAUCCAACCUGCCCUUUACUCGGGGAUAGCCUUUCGAAAGAAAGAUUAAUACCCGAUAGCAUAAUGAUUCCGCAUGGUUUCAUUAUUAAAGGAUUCCGGUAAAGGAUGGGGAUGCGUUCCAUUAGGUUGUUGGUGAGGUAACGGCCCACCAAGCCUUCGAUGGAUAGGGGUUCUGAGAGGAAGGUCCCCCACAUUGGAACUGAGACACGGUCCAAACUCCUACGGGAGGCAGCAGUGAGGAAUAUUGGUCAAUGGGCGCUAGCCUGAACCAGCCAAGUAGCGUGAAGGAUGAAGGCUCUAUGGGUCGUAAACUUCUUUUAUAUAAGAAUAAAGUGCAGUAUGUAUACUGUUUUGUAUGUAUUAUAUGAAUAAGGAUCGGCUAACUCCGUGCCAGCAGCCGCGGUAAUACGGAGGAUCCGAGCGUUAUCCGGAUUUAUUGGGUUUAAAGGGAGCGUAGGUGGACUGGCAAGUCAGUUGUGAAAGUUUGCGGCUCCAACCGUAAAAUUGCAGUUGAUACUGUCAGUCUUGAGUACAGUAGAGGUGGGCGGAAUUUCGUGGUGUAGCGGUGAAAUGCUUAGAUAUCACGAAGAACUCCGAUUGCGAAGGCAGCUCACUGGACUGCAACUGACACUGAUGCUCGAAAGUGUGGGUAUCAAACAGGAUUAGAUACCCUGGUAGUCCACACAGUAAACGAUGAAUACUCGCUGUUUGCGAUAUACAGUAAGCGGCCAAGCGAAAGCAUUAAGUAUUCCACCUGGGGAGUACGCCGGCAACGGUGAAACUCAAAGGAAUUGACGGGGGCCCGCACAAGCGGAGGAACAUGUGGUUUAAUUCGAUGAUACGCGAGGAACCUUACCCGGGCUUAAAUUGCAGUGGAAUGAUGUGGAAACAUGUCAGUGAGCAAUCACCGCUGUGAAGGUGCUGCAUGGUUGUCGUCAGCUCGUGCCGUGAGGUGUCGGCUUAAGUGCCAUAACGAGCGCAACCCUUAUCUUUAGUUACUAACAGGUUAUGCUGAGGACUCUAGAGAGACUGCCGUCGUAAGAUGUGAGGAAGGUGGGGAUGACGUCAAAUCAGCACGGCCCUUACGUCCGGGGCUACACACGUGUUACAAUGGGGGGUACAGAAGGCAGCUAGCGGGUGACCGUAUGCUAAUCCCAAAAUCCUCUCUCAGUUCGGAUCGAAGUCUGCAACCCGACUUCGUGAAGCUGGAUUCGCUAGUAAUCGCGCAUCAGCCACGGCGCGGUGAAUACGUUCCCGGGCCCUGUACACACCGCCCGUCAAGCCAUGGGAGCCGGGGGUACCUGAAGUACGUAACCGCAAGGAUCGUCCUAGGGUAAAACUGG
RNAcentral lists this ribosomal RNA (1442 nucleotides) under uncultured organism. RNAcentral describes it as "SSU rRNA". It matches the Rfam family "Bacterial small subunit ribosomal RNA". The record is from RNAcentral.